Pectinophora gossypiella (pink bollworm) is the source of this 227-nucleotide long non-coding RNA. RefSeq lists it as uncharacterized. The record is from RefSeq and is a predicted model, not a curated record. The transcript has 2 exons. NCBI's taxonomy places the organism in Eukaryota, Metazoa, Arthropoda, Insecta, Lepidoptera, Gelechiidae.
UUAGUGAAGAAGCAGUUGGAGAUCAACCGCAAUCUUCGAUUUUAAAGCGCGUCCAAAGUUGACCGGAGUUCCUAGCACUACCAUACGACGAAUGAUUGCUGAAGGUAGACCGAAUGGAAGUGUAUUUAGUGCACCCGGUAAAAAGAAGAGAGGUGGAAAGAAAACAAAUAACCUGGACAGUUUUGAUUUGGAAAUAGCAUAAUAAUAUAAAGUGAUCUUUUCAUAAA